RNAcentral lists this ribosomal RNA (2904 nucleotides) under Escherichia coli. Its description in RNAcentral is "23S ribosomal RNA". It matches the Rfam family "Bacterial large subunit ribosomal RNA". The record is from RNAcentral. Lineage: Bacteria; Pseudomonadati; Pseudomonadota; Gammaproteobacteria; Enterobacterales; Enterobacteriaceae.
GGUUAAGCGACUAAGCGUACACGGUGGAUGCCCUGGCAGUCAGAGGCGAUGAAGGACGUGCUAAUCUGCGAUAAGCGUCGGUAAGGUGAUAUGAACCGUUAUAACCGGCGAUUUCCGAAUGGGGAAACCCAGUGUGUUUCGACACACUAUCAUUAACUGAAUCCAUAGGUUAAUGAGGCGAACCGGGGGAACUGAAACAUCUAAGUACCCCGAGGAAAAGAAAUCAACCGAGAUUCCCCCAGUAGCGGCGAGCGAACGGGGAGCAGCCCAGAGCCUGAAUCAGUGUGUGUGUUAGUGGAAGCGUCUGGAAAGGCGCGCGAUACAGGGUGACAGCCCCGUACACAAAAAUGCACAUGCUGUGAGCUCGAUGAGUAGGGCGGGACACGUGGUAUCCUGUCUGAAUAUGGGGGGACCAUCCUCCAAGGCUAAAUACUCCUGACUGACCGAUAGUGAACCAGUACCGUGAGGGAAAGGCGAAAAGAACCCCGGCGAGGGGAGUGAAAAAGAACCUGAAACCGUGUACGUACAAGCAGUGGGAGCCUCUUUUAUGGGGUGACUGCGUACCUUUUGUAUAAUGGGUCAGCGACUUAUAUUCUGUAGCAAGGUUAACCGAAUAGGGGAGCCGAAGGGAAACCGAGUCUUAACUGGGCGUUAAGUUGCAGGGUAUAGACCCGAAACCCGGUGAUCUAGCCAUGGGCAGGUUGAAGGUUGGGUAACACUAACUGGAGGACCGAACCGACUAAUGUUGAAAAAUUAGCGGAUGACUUGUGGCUGGGGGUGAAAGGCCAAUCAAACCGGGAGAUAGCUGGUUCUCCCCGAAAGCUAUUUAGGUAGCGCCUCGUGAAUUCAUCUCCGGGGGUAGAGCACUGUUUCGGCAAGGGGGUCAUCCCGACUUACCAACCCGAUGCAAACUGCGAAUACCGGAGAAUGUUAUCACGGGAGACACACGGCGGGUGCUAACGUCCGUCGUGAAGAGGGAAACAACCCAGACCGCCAGCUAAGGUCCCAAAGUCAUGGUUAAGUGGGAAACGAUGUGGGAAGGCCCAGACAGCCAGGAUGUUGGCUUAGAAGCAGCCAUCAUUUAAAGAAAGCGUAAUAGCUCACUGGUCGAGUCGGCCUGCGCGGAAGAUGUAACGGGGCUAAACCAUGCACCGAAGCUGCGGCAGCGACGCUUAUGCGUUGUUGGGUAGGGGAGCGUUCUGUAAGCCUGUGAAGGUGUACUGUGAGGUAUGCUGGAGGUAUCAGAAGUGCGAAUGCUGACAUAAGUAACGAUAAAGCGGGUGAAAAGCCCGCUCGCCGGAAGACCAAGGGUUCCUGUCCAACGUUAAUCGGGGCAGGGUGAGUCGACCCCUAAGGCGAGGCCGAAAGGCGUAGUCGAUGGGAAACAGGUUAAUAUUCCUGUACUUGGUGUUACUGCGAAGGGGGGACGGAGAAGGCUAUGUUGGCCGGGCGACGGUUGUCCCGGUUUAAGCGUGUAGGCUGGUUUUCCAGGCAAAUCCGGAAAAUCAAGGCUGAGGCGUGAUGACGAGGCACUACGGUGCUGAAGCAACAAAUGCCCUGCUUCCAGGAAAAGCCUCUAAGCAUCAGGUAACAUCAAAUCGUACCCCAAACCGACACAGGUGGUCAGGUAGAGAAUACCAAGGCGCUUGAGAGAACUCGGGUGAAGGAACUAGGCAAAAUGGUGCCGUAACUUCGGGAGAAGGCACGCUGAUAUGUAGGUGAAGUCCCUCGCGGAUGGAGCUGAAAUCAGUCGAAGAUACCAGCUGGCUGCAACUGUUUAUUAAAAACACAGCACUGUGCAAACACGAAAGUGGACGUAUACGGUGUGACGCCUGCCCGGUGCCGGAAGGUUAAUUGAUGGGGUCAGCGCAAGCGAAGCUCUUGAUCGAAGCCCCGGUAAACGGCGGCCGUAACUAUAACGGUCCUAAGGUAGCGAAAUUCCUUGUCGGGUAAGUUCCGACCUGCACGAAUGGCGUAAUGAUGGCCAGGCUGUCUCCACCCGAGACUCAGUGAAAUUGAACUCGCUGUGAAGAUGCAGUGUACCCGCGGCAAGACGGAAAGACCCCGUGAACCUUUACUAUAGCUUGACACUGAACAUUGAGCCUUGAUGUGUAGGAUAGGUGGGAGGCUUUGAAGUGUGGACGCCAGUCUGCAUGGAGCCGACCUUGAAAUACCACCCUUUAAUGUUUGAUGUUCUAACGUGGACCCGUGAUCCGGGUUGCGGACAGUGUCUGGUGGGUAGUUUGACUGGGGCGGUCUCCUCCUAAAGAGUAACGGAGGAGCACGAAGGUUGGCUAAUCCUGGUCGGACAUCAGGAGGUUAGUGCAAUGGCAUAAGCCAGCUUGACUGCGAGCGUGACGGCGCGAGCAGGUGCGAAAGCAGGUCAUAGUGAUCCGGUGGUUCUGAAUGGAAGGGCCAUCGCUCAACGGAUAAAAGGUACUCCGGGGAUAACAGGCUGAUACCGCCCAAGAGUUCAUAUCGACGGCGGUGUUUGGCACCUCGAUGUCGGCUCAUCACAUCCUGGGGCUGAAGUAGGUCCCAAGGGUAUGGCUGUUCGCCAUUUAAAGUGGUACGCGAGCUGGGUUUAGAACGUCGUGAGACAGUUCGGUCCCUAUCUGCCGUGGGCGCUGGAGAACUGAGGGGGGCUGCUCCUAGUACGAGAGGACCGGAGUGGACGCAUCACUGGUGUUCGGGUUGUCAUGCCAAUGGCACUGCCCGGUAGCUAAAUGCGGAAGAGAUAAGUGCUGAAAGCAUCUAAGCACGAAACUUGCCCCGAGAUGAGUUCUCCCUGACUCCUUGAGAGUCCUGAAGGAACGUUGAAGACGACGACGUUGAUAGGCCGGGUGUGUAAGCGCAGCGAUGCGUUGAGCUAACCGGUACUAAUGAACCGUGAGGCUUAACCUU